GAUGAACGCUAGCUACAGGCUUAACACAUGCAAGUCGAGGGGAAACGAUAGGGAAAGCUUGCUUUUUCUAGGCGUCGACCGGCGCACGGGUGAGUAACGCGUAUCCAACCUGCCCAUCACUUGGGGAUAACCUUGCGAAAGUAAGACUAAUACCCAAUGACGUCUCUAGAAGACAUCUGAAGGAGAUUAAAGAUUUAUCGGUGAUGGAUGGGGAUGCGUCUGAUUAGCUUGUUGGCGGGGUAACGGCCCACCAAGGCGACGAUCAGUAGGGGUUCUGAGAGGAAGGUCCCCCACAUUGGAACUGGGACACGGUCCAAACUCCUACGGGAGGCAGCAGUGAGGAAUAUUGGUCAAUGGACGAGAGUCUGAACCAGCCAAGUAGCGUGCAGGAAGACGGCCCUAUGGGUUGUAACCUGCUUUUAUAAGGGAAUAAAGUGAGUCUCGUGAGACUUUUUGCAUGUACCUUAUGAAUAAGGACCGGCUAAUUCCGUGCCAGCCGCCGCCGUAA
This 508-nucleotide ribosomal RNA is filed under the name uncultured bacterium. Its description in RNAcentral is "partial 16S ribosomal RNA". It matches the Rfam family "Bacterial small subunit ribosomal RNA", at positions 28 to 523 of the family's 1533-position model. The record is from RNAcentral.